RNAcentral lists this ribosomal RNA (497 nucleotides) under uncultured bacterium. RNAcentral's name for it is "partial 16S ribosomal RNA". It matches the Rfam family "Bacterial small subunit ribosomal RNA", at positions 28 to 507 of the family's 1533-position model. The record is from RNAcentral.
GAUGAACGCUGGCGGCGUGCCUAAUACAUGCAAGUCGAGCGAACGGACGAGAAGCUUGCUUCUCUGAUGUUAGCGGCGGACGGGUGAGUAACACGUGGAUAACCUACCUAUAAGACUGGGAUAACUUCGGGAAACCGGAGCUCAUACCGGAUAAUAUUUUGAACCGCAUGGUUCAAAAGUGAAAGACGGUCUUGCUGUCACUUAUAGAUGGAUCCGCGCUGCAUUAGCUAGUUGGUAAGGUAACGGCUUACCAAGGCAACGAUGCAUAGCCGACCUGAGAGGGUGAUCGGCCACACUGGAACUGAGACACGGUCCAGACUCCUACGGGAGGCAGCAGUAGGGAAUCUUCCGAAAUGGGCGAAAGCCUGACGGAGCAACGCCGCGUGAGUGAUGAAGGUCUUCGGAUCGUAAAACUCUGUUAUUAGGGAAGAACAUAUGUGUAAGUAACUGUGCACAUCUUGACGGUACCUAAUCAGAAAGCCACGGCUAACUACGUG